This 493-nucleotide ribosomal RNA is filed under the name uncultured bacterium. Its description in RNAcentral is "bacterial SSU rRNA". It matches the Rfam family "Bacterial small subunit ribosomal RNA", at positions 29 to 514 of the family's 1533-position model. The record is from RNAcentral.
AUUGAACGCUGGCGGCGUGCCUAACACAUGCAAGUCGAGCGGUAACAGGUGUAGCAAUACAUGCUGACGAGCGGCGGACGGGUGAGUAACGCUUGGGAAUCUGCCUAUUAGUGGGGGACAACCCGGGGAAACUCGGGCUAAUACCGCAUACGCUCUACGGAGGAAAGCCGGGGACCGCAAGGCCUGGCGCUAAUAGAUGAGCCCAAGUCGGAUUAGCUAGUUGGUAGGGUAAGGCCUACCAAGGCGACGAUCCGUAACUGGUCUGAGAGGACGACCAGUCACACCGGAACUGAGACACGGUCCGGACUCCUACGGGAGGCAGCAGUGGGGAAUAUUGGACAAUGGGCGAAAGCCUGAUCCAGCGACGCCGCGUGGGUGAAGAAGGCCUGCGGGUUGUAAAGCCCUUUCAGUGGGGAAAGAAAAGCCUCGACCUAACACGUCGGGGUCUUGACGUAACCCAUAGAAGAAGCACCGGCUAACUCUGUGCCAGCAG